UUGAAGAAUUUGAAGACGUCAGCUUGCAAAUUUGAAGAAUUUGAAGACUUUGGCUUGCAAACUUGAUUGAUUUCUAGACCUCAAUU
Molecule: microRNA precursor, 86 nt
Filed under: Solanum tuberosum (potato)
Lineage: Eukaryota; Viridiplantae; Streptophyta; Magnoliopsida; Solanales; Solanaceae
Description: MIR8024 microRNA precursor family
Rfam family: MIR8024 microRNA precursor family
Source: Rfam by way of RNAcentral